AACGUCCCAGUUCGGAUUGUAGUCUGCAACCCGACUACAUGAAGCUGGAANCGCUAGUAAUCGCGAAUCAGAAUGUCGCGGUGAAUACGUUCCCGGGUCUUGUACACACCGCCCGUCACACCAUGGGAGUCGGAAAUGCCCGAAGUCAGUGACCCAACCGUAAGGAGGGAGCUGCCGAAGGUGGAGCCGGUAACUGGGGUGAAGUCGUAACAAGGUAAC
This 219-nucleotide ribosomal RNA is filed under the name uncultured bacterium. RNAcentral describes it as "partial 16S ribosomal RNA". It matches the Rfam family "Bacterial small subunit ribosomal RNA", at positions 1282 to 1500 of the family's 1533-position model. The record is from RNAcentral.